This 254-nucleotide ribosomal RNA is filed under the name uncultured bacterium. Its description in RNAcentral is "partial 16S ribosomal RNA". It matches the Rfam family "Bacterial small subunit ribosomal RNA", at positions 524 to 776 of the family's 1533-position model. The record is from RNAcentral.
UACGGGGGGGGCAAGCGUUGUUCGGAUUUACUGGGCGUAAAGGGCGCGUAGGCGGCCACCGCAAGUCAAUUGUGAAAUCUCCGGGCUUAACUCGGAAAGGUCAACUGAUACUGCGGGGCUAGAGUGCGGAAGGGGCAACUGGAAUUCUCGGUGUAGCGGUGAAAUGCGUAGAUAUCGAGAGGAACACCUGCGGCGAAGGCGGCCUUCUGGACAGCAACUGACGCUGAGACGCGAAAGCGUGGGGAGCAAACAGG